CUCUCUCUGUGACCCCCCUCUAUUUUCGCCGCCAACUACUGCAAGCCCGCCGCAGAUCUCGAAUUGGCGCUCUCUAUAAUCGCCUUUGGAGAUCAUAAAGUCGUCGCCUACGGAGGUUUCGAUUCGCGACUGUCAUACGAUUUUCACGAUAGAGAAAUCAUGUCAGCGCGAUUUAGUAAUAAUAAACUGGACAAUUAAACGCGUUGUCGAGAGGGAGGGAGAGAGAGAGAGACCAAAUUUUGCUCGUGAGAUUAGAGAAGAAAUUAAAGAUGAAGACCCAAAUGCUGACCUCAAGGGCUCCUGAGAAAUUGGUCCAAACACAAACACGGUGUGAAUCUGAAAACCACACCCUAGACGGAGCAUUGAAUUACUUCAAUUCCAUGAUUCAAAUGCGACCCAUGCCUUCUAUUGGGUUUUGAAUCAAUUGCUUGGUGCGCUAUCUAAGAUGGACCACUAUCCCACUGUUGUCCUUCCUAUGUACAAAGAACUUAUGCGGGUUGUGAUGAUUUAGGCUAUGAUGUCAGUGCUUUGAGUAUUGUUAUUAAGUGCUUUUGUCGUUUGAAGAAGGUGAAAUUAGGCUUCUCUGUUUUGGCAAGCGGGCUUCAACCGGAUGCUUAUGCAUUGAGUCUUCUGCUUCAUGGGCUUGGCAGGGAACGCUCGAGAAACUUGGAAGGCACUAGUGGGUUUUGUAAGGCCGGAGAAUAGCAUAAUGAUGAGAGGAUUAAACCAAUCAGCACUGUUUUAGUCUUAUCAUUGACAACCUCUUUAAAGAAGGACGAAUAGAUGAGGCCUUGAACUUGUUUCAAGAUAUGAUCAACCGCGGUGUUCUUCCAAAUGUAGUUUGUUAUACGUCUUUGAUGUACGGAUUAGGCAAAUUUGAUAGUUUGGAAGAAGCAAAUUUGGUACUUUGGAUGGAGCUAAGAUAUUCCUAGUCGACAUGUUCGACAAUGGAAUCUCACCUAAUAUACAUACUUACAACUCUUUAAUAUAUGGAUUGUGCCACUCAAGCCAAUGGAGUGAAGCAAUCAAGUUGUCUGAGGAAAUGAAGGAUCAAGCUAUUUCCCAGAUGCAAUUACAGAUAAUAUACUAGUGGAUGCUCUUUCUAAAGACGGAAGGAUGCAAGAAGCUCGUGCCAUCUUUCAUCAAAUGAUUCGAAGAGAUUUACGUCUAGAUAUCGUCACUUAUACAUUUCAAGCUUCUUAAGGACAUGAUCCAGAAAGGGUUUUGCCUGAUCAUAUCCAUGUUAUGCAAAUCAUCUUGAAAAAGAUUCACGGCAUAAGGUUUGAGAAGGAAAAUGGAAACACCAUUCAAUCAAGAGAAGAAGUCUAAAAGAACGCACUCAGGCAAGCACAUGAGUAAGGCAGACAUCCAAUUAUCAUUCAAUCAUGACAAGAAGUCCCUGGCCAAAGCAAGUGCAACCCCAUUAUUUUACCAUUAUGAGAGAUUGAUGAAAAAAUGCCUCCUCUAAAAUAUUACUUUUCGAGACUUGUUAUCAUUUCCGUCAAA
Morus notabilis is the source of this 1506-nucleotide long non-coding RNA. RefSeq lists it as uncharacterized. NCBI's taxonomy places the organism in Eukaryota, Viridiplantae, Streptophyta, Magnoliopsida, Rosales, Moraceae. The record is from RefSeq and is a predicted model, not a curated record. The transcript has 3 exons.